GGGCGGGUGGCGGAACUGGCAGACGCACGGGACUUAAAAUCCCGAGUCCACUUGUGGAUGUGAGGGUUCAACUCCCUCCCCGCCCA
This 86-nucleotide transfer RNA is filed under the name Elusimicrobiota bacterium. RNAcentral's name for it is "Elusimicrobia bacterium (groundwater metagenome) tRNA-Leu". It matches the Rfam family "tRNA". Rfam says of the family: Transfer RNA (tRNA) molecules are approximately 80 nucleotides in length. Lineage: Bacteria; Pseudomonadati; Elusimicrobiota. The record is from RNAcentral.